RNAcentral lists this microRNA (21 nucleotides) under Pristionchus pacificus. Its description in RNAcentral is "ppc-miR-8363-3p". Lineage: Eukaryota; Metazoa; Nematoda; Chromadorea; Rhabditida; Neodiplogasteridae. The record is from miRBase by way of RNAcentral.
ACAUUCGAUCGGCAACUCAUG